This 764-nucleotide non-coding RNA is filed under the name Simianus niponicus. The record is from RNAcentral. Lineage: Eukaryota; Metazoa; Arthropoda; Insecta; Coleoptera; Callirhipidae.
AUAAAGUUUUAUUUUAGCUUUAAAAUUUAAUUGAUUUUUUUUUUGUAUGCAUGAUUUUUUACUGAUUUAGAUGAUUUUUUUUGCAGUAUUUAAUAUUAUAAAUUUAGGAAACUGAGAUUUAGAAAAUUUUCUUAAUAUUAACAAAAGUUGUGCCAGCAGUUGCGGUUAUACAAUUGAUAUGAUUAAAUUUUUUUAGUAUAUAAUUAAUUUUUAUUUAUUUAUUUAUUGAAUUUUAAGUUUUUUAAGUGAAAUUUUAAAUUUAAAUUGAAUAUAAUUUAAGUAUUUAUGAUAUUUAUUAAAUUUAUUUUUAAACUAGGAUUAGAUACCCUAUUAUUUUAAAUGUAAAUUUUUUUACUUAAUUAGUAUUAGCUAUUUUCUUGAAAAUUAAAGAAUUUGGCGGUAUUUUAGUCUUUUCAGAGGAACCUGUUCUGUAAUUGAUAGUCCACGAUUUAAUUUACUUGGUUUAGAAGCUUGUAUAUCGUCGUUUUUGAUUAUUUUAAAAGAAUAUUAAUGAUCAAUAUUUUAUAUAAAAAUGUAAAUCAGAUCAAGGUGCAGUUUAUAAUUAAGAAGAAAUGGGUUACAAUAAAUUUAUUUAUAUGGUUUAAGGAUUGAAAAAUUUCUUUUUAAAGUGGAUUUGGAAGUAAUAAUUUUAAAUUAAAUUUUAUGAUUAAGGCUCUAAAAUAUGUACAUAUUGCCCGUCACUCUCAUUAUUUUGAGAUAAGUCGUAACAGAGUAGAUGUACUGGAAAGUGUAUCUAGAAUGAU